Molecule: non-coding RNA, 846 nt
Organism: Delphinapterus leucas (beluga whale)
Lineage: Eukaryota; Metazoa; Chordata; Mammalia; Artiodactyla; Monodontidae
Source: RefSeq, a predicted model, not a curated record
CACAGAGAGGGUUUGUGGGAGAUUUGGAAGGAGGAAGCUGAACAGCAGUCAUAUUCUUUUACACUCGAAGUGCAGGAUUCCGGGCAGUGACUGGUGCAGCCGCUAAUAUGGCACGGGUCAGGGCUAGCCUGCAGUUCCUCCAUCUCCUGCCACACCGUCCUUUGGCUUCUUCUUCUCGGGCCCAGGGGGGUGCUCAGGUCCACGAUGAAGGGCCCCGCUUCUCCUGCAGGCCACCGGCAUAACCCAAGGAGGAGUUUUGGAGGCCCUGAGACCUUCAGGAUUCCAUCUUCACUUCUUUCCUCUUCGACUCUCUGCCCUGGUGACUUCAGGCCCCGGCAUCAGACACAAAGACAACAGGCUCAGAUAGACAGUUACGCCACCUGUUACAGCUACAGAAGGUCAGCUCCCGAAAAUGACAGUUGUGAGUAUGACACUGGUUAACUCAGACGAAGCACCCAGGACCGUGCCUGGCCCAGUGGCAGGUGAUAUCCUAAAAAGGAUUUGAGACUGGACAGUCUGGCGUCCUGUAUGAUACAUAUUUGAGGCAGAUGACACAGAUGCUUUUGAGACAGUCCUUCUGAUGCCAGCGUGACACAGCAUGAAGGGACAAGAUCCCAGCACGACGCUGCCCUGGGGAUUAACUACAAUAGUGCUACCAAAUGCCUUAAUGUAUUCAAUCCAUUGCUGCAAGAGAACCUGAAUGCCACCUCGAACUUUACUGAAGAGCUGAUACAGACGUUUGUUAACAUGAUGAAGAUAUUCAGGAACCUCUCUUUCCUGCAUUAAUUUUUGGCCUUCAGCUGCGUAGAGUCGUACGCGGGCCCCCCACUGCUGUGGCCUCUCCCG